RNAcentral lists this ribosomal RNA (630 nucleotides) under uncultured Spirochaetota bacterium. Its description in RNAcentral is "bacterial SSU rRNA". It matches the Rfam family "Bacterial small subunit ribosomal RNA", at positions 57 to 674 of the family's 1533-position model. Lineage: Bacteria; Pseudomonadati; Spirochaetota. The record is from RNAcentral.
GCAAGUCGGACGGCAAGGCAGUAGCAAUACUGCCCUAGAGUGGCGAACGGGUGAGUAACACGUAGGUGAUCUGCCUUUGGAUGGGGGAUAGCCCGUGGAAACACGGGGUAAUACCGCAUGAGGCUCUCGGGGUAAAGCCUGGGAGUGAAAGGUGCAAUUGCACCGUCUGGGGAUGAGCCUGCGGUCCAUUAGGUAGUUGGUGGGGUAAUGGCCUACCAAGCCGACGAUGGAUAGCCGGCCUGAGAGGGUGUACGGCCACACUGGAACUGAGACACGGUCCAGACUCCUACGGGAGGCAGCAGCUAAGAAUCUUCCGCAAUGGGGGAAACCCUGACGGAGCGACGCCGCGUGGAUGAUGAAGGCCGUAAGGUUGUAAAAUCCUUUUGUUGGCGAAGAAUGACCUGGGGAGUGGAAAGCCUCAGGGAUGACGUUAGCCGACGAAUAAGCCCCGGCUAAUUACGUGCCAGCAGCCGCGGUAAUACGUAUGGGGCAAGCGUUGUUCGGAGUUAUUGGGCGUAAAGGGCGUGUAGGCGGCUCAUCAAGUCUGGUGUGAAAUCGCAGGGCUUAACCCUGCAUAUGCGCUGGAAACUGGUGGGCUGGAGUUCUUGAGGGGAAGCUGGAAUUCCAGGU